RNAcentral lists this ribosomal RNA (505 nucleotides) under uncultured Leadbetterella sp. Its description in RNAcentral is "bacterial SSU rRNA". It matches the Rfam family "Bacterial small subunit ribosomal RNA", at positions 1 to 524 of the family's 1533-position model. The record is from RNAcentral. Lineage: Bacteria; Pseudomonadati; Bacteroidota; Cytophagia; Cytophagales; Leadbetterellaceae.
UAGAGUUUGAUCAUGGCUCAGGAUGAACGCUAGCGGCAGGCUUAAUACAUGCAAGUCGAGGGGGCAGCAAUGUCACCGGCGAACGGGUGCGUAACGCGUAUGCAACCUGGCCAUAUCAGGGGGAUAGCCCUAGGAAACUGGGAUUAAUACCGCAUAAUAUAAAACCCGGCAUCGGGUAUUAUUGAAAGAUUUAUCGGAUAUGGAUGGGCAUGCGUAGGAUUAGUUAGUUGGUGAGGUAACGGCACACCAAGACGAUGAUGGGUAGGGGUCCUGAGAGGGAGAUCCCCCACACUGGUACAGAGACACGGACCAGACUCCUACGGGAGGCAGCAGUGAGGAAUAUUGGUCAAUGGAGGCAACUCUGAACCAGCCAUGCCGCGUGCAGGAAGAAGGUUCUAUGGAUCGUAAACUGCUUUUGUACAGGAAGAAAUUAUCCCUCGUGAGGGAGCUUGACAGUACUGUAAGAAUAAGGAUCGGCUAACUCCGUGCCAGCAGCCGCGGUAAU